AGUCCCCGCCCCCGCUGGAUGGGGCCCGACCUCUCCCCAGCGUUCCUCCUCCGGCCCCAGUUCACCGCCAGCACACGCCUGCUUCCCGUCUGCGCGAGUCCACGCAGCUCCCCAGGCCCUUCACCAGCACAGCAGCGGCAGGCAUGGCGGCAAGUGUGGAGCAGCGCGAGGACACCAUCCAGGUGCAGGGCCAGGCCCUCUUCUUCCGAGAGGCCCGGCCCGGCAGUGGGCAGGCUCACUUCUCUGUACUGCUGCUGCAUGGUAUUCGCUUCUCCUCCGAGACCUGGCAGAACCUGGGUACACUGCACAGGCUGGCCCAGGCUGGCUACCGGGCUGUGGCCAUUGACCUGCCAGGUACUUAAAGGGCAGGCUUCUGGGCAGGGGUUGGGGAGGUCUCAUCAGGGACAGGACCAGGUUCCUAUAACAUGUAGCCCCUCCCCACUCCAGGGGUGGGAGCGGUGGGAUCUGGAGGACCCA
This 477-nucleotide small RNA is filed under the name Pongo abelii (Sumatran orangutan). RNAcentral's name for it is "retained intron". Lineage: Eukaryota; Metazoa; Chordata; Mammalia; Primates; Hominidae. The record is from RNAcentral.